CCUACGGGUGGCAGCAGUGGGGAAUAUUGCACAAUGGGGGAAACCCUGAUGCAGCGACGCCGCGUGAGUGAUGAAGUAUCUCGGUAUGUAAAGCUCUAUCAGCAGGGAAGAAAAUGACGGUACCUGACUAAGAAGCCCCGGCUAACUACGUGCCAGCAGCCGCGGUAAUACGUAGGGGGCAAGCGUUAUCCGGAUUUACUGGGUGUAAAGGGAGCGUAGACGGCUGUGCAAGCCAGAUGUGAAAGCCCGGGGCCCAACCCCGGGACUGCACUUGGAACUGUGUGGCUGGAGUGCCGGAGAGGCAGGCGGAAUUCCUAGUGUAGCGGUGAAAUGCGUAGAUAUUAGGAGGAACACCAGUGGCGAAGGCGGCCUGCUGGACGAUGACUGACGUUGAGGCUCGAAAGCGUGGGGAGCAAACAGGAUUAGAUACCCGAGUAGUC
RNAcentral lists this ribosomal RNA (440 nucleotides) under uncultured bacterium. RNAcentral's name for it is "partial 16S ribosomal RNA". It matches the Rfam family "Bacterial small subunit ribosomal RNA", at positions 338 to 795 of the family's 1533-position model. The record is from RNAcentral.